RNAcentral lists this ribosomal RNA (1146 nucleotides) under Triticum aestivum (bread wheat). Its description in RNAcentral is "partial small subunit ribosomal RNA". Lineage: Eukaryota; Viridiplantae; Streptophyta; Magnoliopsida; Poales; Poaceae. The record is from RNAcentral.
AUGGCCGAGCUCGCGGAGAACCUCUUCCUCCGCCUUGCGCCGGAGCUGGUUGAUGCGGUGCUCCUCCGCCUCCCGCCGGGAGAGCCCGCCUGCCUCGUCCGCGCCUCCGUCGUCUGCAAGCCCUGGUUCCGCAUCCUCGCCGAUCCGGGAUUCCGCCGCCGCUACCUCGAGUUCCACCGGACGCCCUCCGUCCUGGGGCUCUACGAGGACGACGGCGCCUACGUCCCCACCUCCGCCCUCCCCUCCGUCCACCCCGGCCGUGGCCGCUUGGUCGACAGGCCCCUGGACUGCCGCCACGGCCGCGCGCUCCUCGCCCCCUACAGCCGCUCCUUCAGGGAAGGGAAUGCCGUCAUCCUGACCGUCCUGGACCCUCUCACUGGCCGCGUGCGCCGCGUGCUCUCUCCGGUCGACGAACAUGUGCUCUGGUUCAGUGCGGCGGUGCUCUGCGCCGCACAAGGCUGCGACCACUAUGGUUGCCAAGGAGGGCACUUCCGCCUGGCCGUCGUGACCACAAAUGAUGUAGGAGUCACGUCGGGCUGGCUGUACUCGUCGGAGACUCGCGUGUGGAGCGUGCUCGCCACCGUUGGUCACCCCAAAGUCGCCUACUAUGCCAACCAAGGUGCUCCAAGCGUCCUUGUCGGGGACGCGCUCUACUUCGACAUCGAUGGCAUCGUCGAGCUUCACCUCGGUAAACUCUGCUUGUCAAAGUUUGAGAAGCCGGUCGCUGGCAAGGGGCGUCUCAUGACGGCGCAAGGCGGUGGGCUCGGAUUCAUUGCUAUGGUGGAUGUCACAAAUCUAACCCUGUGGUCAGGGGAGGCUGGGCCAAAGGGAGCCAUGGUAUGGACAAAGCUCAGGGUAAUCGAUCUUAAGAAGCUGCUCCCUGCCGGGGCCCUCAUGACCCAAACAGUUGAUUAUGGGAUUAAUGGCGUAGCGGAGGGCACCCAAGUCAUUUUUGUGAGCACAUUUAUUGGUUCCUACAUGGUCGAUCUCAAGUCUCGACAAGUCAGGAUAGUGUCUGGUCGUGCCAGAAACAUCACUCCCUACAUGAGCUUCUACAUCCCAGCAAUUAAAGCAGCUUCCACUAGCCAGGGGCAGAGAGCUGGUGCUUCAAGUGUUCGCCGGGCUGGAGCAAGAGGGAGGCGGUAG